GCAGGCUGCAACUCGCCUGCACGAAGUCGGAAUUGCUAGUAAUCGUAGGUCAGCAUACUACGGUGAAUACGUUCCCGGGCCUUGUACACACCGCCCGUCAAACCAUGAGAGUUGGCAACACCCGAAGUCGGUAGUCUAACCGCAAGGAGGACGCCGCCGUAGGUGGGGUUGAUGAUUAGGGUUAAGUCGUAACAAGGUAGC
Molecule: ribosomal RNA, 201 nt
Filed under: uncultured bacterium
Lineage: Bacteria
Description: partial 16S ribosomal RNA
Rfam family: Bacterial small subunit ribosomal RNA
Source: RNAcentral